Molecule: long non-coding RNA, 550 nt
Organism: Chinchilla lanigera (long-tailed chinchilla)
Lineage: Eukaryota; Metazoa; Chordata; Mammalia; Rodentia; Chinchillidae
Exons: 2
Source: RefSeq, a predicted model, not a curated record
CUCCGGCGCGGACGCCCCCGCCGGGGAUCUCGCCGCAGCGUGCGCCUGAGCGCGGAGAGGGGCGCCUUCUCCAAGGGAAGCGGUGCCGCGGCCGCGGGGCGCCCUCGGCUCCACAGCCAGCCUGGGCCCCCUGACCCUCUCUCCUUGGAGCACUGCACCGUCCCCGGAGCGGCUUCCUUACGGAUCGCCUGCGCGCCCUCCCCGAGCUUUGCUGUGCCCGGCUGGUCACAGGAUCGUCGUCUCCCAGGAAGACGCCUCUAAUGAAUGGCUGAACCUGGCAUGUUGAGACACCCGGAGCUCAGCCCCCGCCAGCCUAGGACUCCAGCAACACCACAGAAAUGCUAGAACUCUCCGCCCAGUGGAAGUGACCGCCUUGUCUCCACCAGGACAGUGAUGAGGGCACUGUGGUGAGCCCACAGUGCAUCUCUUCUUAGGAGAAGCUCCUGUGUUCUGUUGGAUGAAUCUGUGUAAAUCUGUGUCUGGUUUGGCUACUGAGAAUAUGGGAGAAUUCACAGUACUUGAAUAGAAUAAAAACCUAUUUUUGGCCUAA